This 260-nucleotide long non-coding RNA is filed under the name Brassica rapa (field mustard). RNAcentral's name for it is "long non-coding RNA (BRAP_LNC005487)". The record is from RNAcentral. Lineage: Eukaryota; Viridiplantae; Streptophyta; Magnoliopsida; Brassicales; Brassicaceae.
GAUAGUCAAGACGAGAGAGCGGUGGUUCGCGGCGCGCCUAUCUAGGGUUUCUUGUGAUUCAGAGUCGGAUGGAGAUCUCGUUAAAACGACGAUCUCUCUGGCGUGAAGACAGAGCGGCCGUGAAGAGCUAUGGUGACGCGGAGGCUCUGCAGUAUCGGAGCUCCGGUGAAAAGUGGGUGUCGGUGGCUGGUUUCGGCGGUUGUGCGGUGAGGCGGAGAUCGAGUUGAGGCGGACGACGCGUGGCGUGCAGACUCUCCAGA